AACCUGGUUGAUCCUGCCAGUAGUCAUAUGCUUGUCUCAAAGAUUAAGCCAUGCAUGUCUAAGUAUAAACUGCUUUAUACUGUGAAACUGCGAAUGGCUCAUUAAAUCAGUUAUAGUUUAUUUGAUGGUACCUACUUACUCGGAUACCCAUAGUAAUUCUAGAGCUAAUACGUGCGUACAUCCCGACUUCUGGAAGGGACGUAUUUAUUAGAUAAAAGGCCGACCGGGCUUGCCCGACUCGCGGUGACUCAUGAUAACUUCACGAAUCGCAUGGCCUCGCGCCGGCGAUGUUUCAUUCAAAUUUCUGCCCUAUCAACUUUUGAUGGUAGGAUAGAGGCCUACCAUGGUGGUAACGGGUGACGGAAGAAUUAGGGUUCCGAUUCCGGAGAGGGAGCCUGAGAAACGGCUAC
Molecule: ribosomal RNA, 410 nt
Filed under: uncultured marine eukaryote
Lineage: Eukaryota
Description: SSU rRNA
Rfam family: Eukaryotic small subunit ribosomal RNA
Source: RNAcentral